Cyprinus carpio carpio is the source of this 6694-nucleotide long non-coding RNA. The record is from Ensembl. NCBI's taxonomy places the organism in Eukaryota, Metazoa, Chordata, Actinopteri, Cypriniformes, Cyprinidae.
CUUAGGGACUGGGUGGUGGAGCGAUGUUGCAAUAUAAGCCUUAGGGGUUGUGUGUGUGUGAUGGCUCCCACUGAGUGAGCAGAGCUCGAGUGCCAAAUAAAAGGAAGGGUCUGAUGUAAGCCUGCCAAAAACAGCUGUGAGAAAGAUGGAGGAGGGCGUUACAUAGUGUGCAUGUGAGGGGGCAAGAGAUACUGUAGACACCCUGAGAGACACUGAGAGGGAAACUUUGGAAGUGGGAGAGAAUGUGUGGAAAAGAUGGUGUGAGAGACAUGAUUCUGUGUUGGAACUAGACACUAAGACCCUGAGCAACAAGGGGACGUCCUCGAGGCGAAGGGAAACGUAAAAUAAGGAGCAACCUGGACUGGAGACUAAGGAAAAUAAGGGCUAAGAAAGUGUAAGAGGAGAAGGAAAGGAUAUCAAAGGAGGAGUAAAGCAAGUCGAAUGGGUUGUGUCUUUAGCAAGCAGCGGUGGGUUAAAGAGAGGAAUCCCCAGCCCUCGGACCCCCCAAAAACACGAGACCUCACAGAGGAUGCAGAGAUUCUCAGCUUAACAGAGGUAUGCAUGUGUUUGUGCAUGCAGAAGGGGUAAUAUAUAGCUAAGAAGAUCUCCAUGCAAAGAAUACAGUGGGUCUGCCUCAAUGGUUGUUUUAUGUCUUCUGUAAAUCAUUCAAUAGUUGGAAUCGCUAUAGUCAGGGGUUUCAAAAAGUGGUCUGUUGAAUUGGGGGUCCAUGGAGAACAUUACUUACAUGGGUAGUUGGGGAAAAUGGGUUCACACUCCUUUAAAGAGAGGAACUCCAAGAAGAAACACCACUGUGUUGUCUGCAGACAAGCCCUCGACAGCCAUGGCAUGUACUGCAGAGAUGGUAGAAUCAAUUUGUGGUUGUAGUGAGAUGAUCUGUUUGGCACAAAGAGAAAUACUGUAGAAAAGAGAGAAUGAACAAUAUAUGAAUCAAAGUAGAGACAAGAUUGUAACUGACACAUGAGGGAUACAAUCAGGUCUCUGUCCCCAGUGAAGUUAUCUCAGAUCCAUAGAGACAAAAUGGAGUUUUAUGGAGAAGUUGAUGGGCAGUCAUUAUGACUUUGACCUGACAUACAUAACUGAGCGUAUCAUCUCUGUCUGACCUGGAAGACCAGCGUUACAGUGCUAACCUCAAAGAUGUGGCAGCCAUGUUGAAAUCUAAACAUCAAGACAAGUUCUUGGUCAGUUGAACUUCUGUUUAAAAUCACUGCUGAGAUCUAAAGCCAUGUGAAUUAUGGCAUUACGUUGUGACAUCAAACCAAAGGUAUCUUCUUGCUGUUUGAUUAAAAACAGCAUUAUAUGUAUUAUUUCAUUAGUUAGAUUUGCAAGCAAAUUAAUUUAAAAGUAACUGUAUGGCUUGCUUGUUUUGAUGUAUGCCUCUGUUUCUGUAUUUCUGGGAUGACCCAUUCCCUUGCCUCAGGUUGAGAAGUUUGGGUGGCCUGAUCUACAUGCCCCAUCCCUCGAUAAAAUAUGUGCUGUGUGCAAAACCAUGGAGAACUGGCUUAACUCUGACCCCCAGAAUGUGGUUGUACUGUACUGCAAGGGCAGAUCUUGCUCUCUUGACAAUUGCUAUGAGGAAAUUUUGUGAGGAUAAAAUCUCUUCCUCUCUCCAACCAUUUCAGAACAGGUUCAAAAAAGAUGAACAGCUCUCCUCUUUUCCUGCAUAAAAUUCAUAUUCCAGCUUUGCUCAACUACCAGGCAGGAGGUUACUCUCCCUUUUUGAAGCUCUAUCAGUCGUUGCAGCUGGUCUAUUCUUCAGGCAAAUAGUAGUGAUAUUCAGGGUCCUAACAGUAAGAUGCUGUGUGUGAAUAUUAAACCAGCUCUACUGCUGAAGGGAGACAUCUUGAUGACCGAUUCCUUGCAGACGCCACAGUGGAGUUGCUGUUUUCUUCUGGUCUGCAAAGGAGAGGUGGAGAGGUGCAGGGAAAUGAGCCAGGAGUAUCUGUGGAUUAUGGCAGCGCAGAUCCUAUUGUGCGCUGGGACUCGUAUGAGAACUUUAACAUUCACCAAGAGGAUAGUGUUGAGGAUAUCUGUCACAAACAUGGGUCUUUGAACGGUAGUCUGUAUGCUCAAGUGAAGAAGCGUCGAGCACCAGGCUCCAGUCCCAGUGGAUGUCCGACUUCCGUCAAAACCCCCACACAUUCACCCUGUCAUUCCUCCUCUACCCCCAUUCAUCUUUCCAUCCAGCCUCUUUCGCUCAGCAAAGAUGCAAGUCGCUCCUCAGCACCACCCGAAUCCCCCUCUCCACUUCUAAGAGAAAAAAGAGAGAAGGACGAAGACAGGGAAAGACACAGAGAAAAUUCUUGACGAUGGCAACUGCUCUCCCAUGAGACUGGAAUGGCCAGUUCAGUCUUAUGGUCACCUGUAUUCCCACAUUUAUUAAUUCUGUGACCCAGAGCUUGCACAAAUGCUCCAUCCCAAACACCACACACUUCCCUGCAGCCGCACUGCCCCGCUGCCAGUCUGAGACUCGUGUGCAUCCCAGCCGGAUCUUUUAUGGGAGAGAGGGCAAUGUCUGCACCAUCCCUGCCCAGAAACCAUCAGGCACAUGUACUCAUAUCCCACUCACGUAACCCACCUUCAUUCGCCACUUUCCCACUCACAGUCCUCCCAUUCCCACACACUUCCCACACAGACACAUGUGUUCUACUCUGGGGAGGCAUGUCCUGUGUUCUAUUGCUCUGCCCUCCCCUAGGGCCACACCCACAUCCCUUCUUCUCUGUCUCCUACUCAGUCACUGCUCUCCAGUCCAUACCGAGAAUUACAUUACAGCACGACUCCCCCAACAUCGUGCUCCUGUUCUCGCUUACGAGAGGAUGUUGCCCUCCAUUCCUUACACGGCAGAGAAAUAGAAGCUCUCCCUUGGUCUAGAGAGACAGAGUUUGGGAUUAGGAGGGAGGGGCCUGUGCACUGGAGGGAUGAAAGGGCGGAGUCUCAUUGGGAAGGAGCUCAAGAGGCCGAAUACUUGCGGCGCAAAAUAGCAAUGUCACCAGUAAUGUUAUCAUACAGACAUUGCCACACUGUACCAAAACAAGACCAAGCUAUAUAUGUUACAGACACCCAACCCAAACAUAUGACCCCAAUCAGUCCAUAUCCCAGCCCCCAAAGCAGUGGCUAUCACAGCCCUCGUCCACCCUGUCCUUGCACUCCACAACCAUUCAGAGACAGUCCUGGAUACGUCUCCAUCAGUCAUUCGUUAUCCCCCAUUGCUCUCACUCCAUCUCCAAAACAAGCCAGUCACAACAAUGCUUCAGCUGAAGAGAGUCAGCAUAGCAUGAAUAGUAAUCACAUUGACUCAGUUUGGUCAAUAAAUUACAGCUAACAAAUAAUGCAUUCCUUAAACAACUUUUGAUAACACUUCACAAUAAAGUUCAUUAGUUACAGUAUUUAUUCAUCUUAAUGUUAACAUUAAUUAAUAAAAGUAUUGGUAUUGUUCAUGUUAGCUUAGGUCCAUUAAUAUUAACAGAUAAAACUUUGGAUUUUAAUAAUGUAUUAGUAAAUGUUGAAAUUAUUAUGAACUUCAUGUUAACUAAUUUUCAUGUUAACUAAUGUAGUUAACGUUAACAAAUGGAACCUUAUUGUAAAAUGUUAUCAAACAUUUGUGUUUCAAGUAAAUGCUGUUCUUCUGAACUUGAUAUACAUCAAAAUAUCAUGAAACAAAAUAUAUCACAGUUUCCACAAAAAUAUUAAGCAGCACAAAUGUUUUCAUCAUUAAUAAUAAUAAAAAAUGUUUUUAAACAAUAUAAAAUAUAUAAAAAUAGAGAAGAGUUUCAAUUAUACAAUAUAAUAAUAAUUAAUAUAUUUAAUAAUUAAUAAUAUAAUAAUUAAAUUGAAUUAAUAUUUCACAAUAUUACAGUGUUUUUUAUCAAAUUAGUGCAGCCUUGGUGAGCAUAAGCAUUUAAUAAUCGUACUGACCCCAAACUUUUGAAAAGUAAUGUACAUUUAAAGAGAUAGUUCUCCAAAAAAAAAAAAAAAUGAAACCUCUGUUCAUCACUCUGAAGUUGUCCAAGCCAGAUUUUUAUUUUAUUUAUUUAUUUAUUUUUUUUUUUUGUGGAACACAAAAGGAGAUAUUUUGUAGAAUGUAAACACUGUUCUUUCCUAUACACAAAAUUUGUUGGUGAUUGAUAAUGUCAAGCUUUAAAAGAGACACAAAAAUACCAUAAAUGUAACAUUUAUUUUAAUUUAUUUAUUUUUCCCCAGCUUUUUUCUCUUUCCUAAUCUAUUGUUGUGUAUUUUGUAGAUGGGCGUAUAGAGGUUUUAGAUGCUGAUAAAAGUCACAUUGAGGCCUUUUCACCUCCUGUUAAUCUCUCAGCAACAGUUAAUUUUGAUAGUUGAACGUUGAUUUUAAUGUGAUAUCAAGUAAAUUCUUCUGCGUAUUCUAACAGCAGACCAAUGGAGGUGGGAGAACCAAUGAAAAGCAAAGUUCUAGAAAGUAGAACAUUCCCUGGGUCUCUGAUCAAUGUUGUCUCGGCUAUCAGUGGCACAGAGGAAAAUACAAAGAAAACAACCAUCACAGAUUGUAAAUCUAACACCCCUCUCAUUAGUAACCCACCAUCAUCCAAGGUUGUGGAGUCAGUGCAGGUACAAACACACAACCCCAAACCUCUCAGUACCAGCAUCCUGGAAUCAGAGCAGGAUAAAGAGGAGUGCCCCGGCUCAUGCUACACCUCAACUUCAACCUCAACAAGUCCUCAACCUCCACUUUGCUCUUCAGAAAGAAGCUCUGCUUCUAAAUUCCCUUCAUUUAACAUAAAUUCUGAAAUGCAAAGCAUGACAACAGUGACUUGACUGCAACGUCCUCUGACCCUGAUGGCUACGUCACACCCUUAUUCCCUAGAGCAGUGGUUCCCAGCCCUGGUCCUGGAGAACCCCCAACACUGCACAUUUAAGAUGUCUCCCUAUUCAAACACACCAGAUUCAACUCAUCAGCUCAUUAGUGAAGACUCCAAGACCUCAAAUGUGUGUGUCAGAUAAGAGCCACCAAAAGCAUGCAGUGUUGGGGGUUCUCCAGGACCAGGAUUGGAAACCACUGCCCUAGAGCAUACAGCUACCCUCUUCUGAUGGAGCCUCAUGUACCCUAUACAGGCUAUACUGAGAUUACCUUCAGAACGUGUCUGAAUGCACUAGCUCUUCAUCAGCAAAGUCAGCUGAAAAACCUGUGACUUCCUUUGCCCAGUUCCAUGUGUCCUUCUCCACUACUAACAAUGAAUUGCUCCCACAUCUAAAUGCAAAGUAACCCCCUCUAGUGGCAUUGAGGAGCCAGAGAACCGCCUCAGCCCCAAGUUUGUUCAAAACAGCUCCAAGUAUUGGAACAAACCUGGCAUCUCCAGAGACCAGGCCAUCGCAGUAUUAAAAGAUAAGGAGCCUGGCUGCUUCCUCAUUAGGGAUAGUAAUUCAUUCCAAGGCGCAUAUGGAUUGGCUCUGAAAGUCAGCACACCUCCAGUCCACGCUAGUAACCACGGAGAGACAGGCAACCCACAGGAGCAGCUAGUUAGGCACUUUCUGAUUGAGAGUGGUCCUCAAGGAGUGAAGAUCAAAGGCUGUCAAAAUGAAACAUAUUUCAGUGAGACAAAAAAAGGCUGUGGUGUAUCAGCACUCCAUUACUCCUGUGUCUCUUCCUUGUGUUUUACGAAUCCCAGAUAGAGAUCUUGAAAGGGAAUUGCAAGAGUUGCAAAGUGGAACUAAUACCAGCACAGCUGCAGAUCUAUUAAAACAGGGGGCAGCUUGUAAUGUUCUCUACCUAAACACUGGCCCACAAGACGCCUCCAAGGCAACCGAGUGCACUUUGCCCCAGGACCCUCGUCCUUCACCAACAGUCAUACACUUCAAAGUGUGCACACAAGGCAUCACCCUCACUGAUAACCAGCGCAGACUGUUUUUCACAAUGUGACUUCCAGCAGUGUGGCUCCACUGGAUCAAAGGUGGAUUGAUGCUGAUAACACUUCCAGCAAGAUGUUUGGAUUUGUUGCACGGCGCAGCAGUGAAUUGGGAAAUGUGUGUCACCUGUUUGCAGAGCUGGACUCAGAGCAGCCAGCCACGGCCAUUGUGAACUUCAUCAAUAAAGUCAUGCUGGGACCUCAACAGCUGCGAAAAUGAACACAGUAUAGGAGAGAUGGAGAAAAACAAAACAGAGAGAGCAAAGGACAAGAUGGUAUCGCUGUGGAUAUUGUCACGUUUAUAUACAGAAUGAGAGAAGUGUUUCUCAUUAGGAUACACAAAACUGAUUCAGUAUGCAAACUUUGUCUUUUUCUGUCAUGUUCACAUAUAGUGUAAAUCAGUGAGAUUAGGUCAUGUUGAAAUUGAGUGCAUUAUGAAGUGAUUUCAAAUUAAACUUCUUUUAUUAAAUAAAAAUGAAAUGUACAAGAAAUACAACAAAUGGAUAUUCCUGGUAAAGUAUAUCUAAUGGAUAAAUAAACGAGAGAGAAAGUUUUUAACACUCAAACCUAUCUUUGCUUUUAUACUACCACUCAGGAUGCCAAAGCUCAAUGACUGUUAUUGUGUUGUGUUUUUAUUUUCAUUGAUUUUGUGUGUGCUUGUUUUCAGUUAAAUGGUCAGAUCUUUUGGUUGUUCGUUUUCUGUUCAAAAUGCCCUUUAUAAGACACAAAGUCAUAUUUUUAGCAACUGUUGCAUUUUUAAAUUCAUACUUUUUAGUAUUUAAAUAAAAUAUUACAAAAAU